CCCUUAGAUGUUCUGGGCCGCACGCGCGCUACACUGAUGCAUUCAACGAGCCUAUCCUUGACCGACAGGUCCGGGUAAUCUUUGAAUCUGCAUCGUGACGGGGAUAGAUUAUUGCAAUUAUUAAUCUUCAACGAGGAAUGCCUAGUAGACGCAAGUCAUCAGCUUGCGUCGAUUACGUCCCUGCCCUUUGUACACACCGCCCGUCGCUCCUACCGAUUGGCUGUGUUGGUGAAAUGUUCGGAUCGGCCGUUUGUCGCGGUUUCCGCGUCAUGUGGCUGAGAAGUUCAUUAAACCCUCCCACCUAGAGGAAGGAGAAGUCGUAACA
Molecule: ribosomal RNA, 325 nt
Filed under: uncultured eukaryote
Lineage: Eukaryota
Description: partial 18S ribosomal RNA
Rfam family: Eukaryotic small subunit ribosomal RNA
Source: RNAcentral